UACGAAGGGGGCUAGCGUUGCUCGGGAUCACUGGGCGUAAAGGGUGCGUAGGCGGGUCUUUAAGUCAGGGGUGAAAUCCUGGAGCUCAACUCCAGAACUGCCUUUGAUACUGAAGAUCUUGAGUUCGGGAGAGGUGAGUGGAACUGCGAGUGUAGAGGUGAAAUUCGUAGAUAUUCGCAAGAACACCAGUGGCGAAGGCGGCUCACUGGCCCGAUACUGACGCUGAGGCACGAAAGCGUGGGGAGCAAACAGG
RNAcentral lists this ribosomal RNA (253 nucleotides) under uncultured bacterium. RNAcentral describes it as "partial 16S ribosomal RNA". It matches the Rfam family "Bacterial small subunit ribosomal RNA", at positions 524 to 776 of the family's 1533-position model. The record is from RNAcentral.